This 389-nucleotide unclassified non-coding RNA is filed under the name soil metagenome. Its description in RNAcentral is "partial contains 5.8S ribosomal RNA, internal transcribed spacer 2, and large subunit ribosomal RNA". The stretch from base 1 to 122 matches the Rfam family "5.8S ribosomal RNA", at positions 35 to 154 of the family's 154-position model. The record is from RNAcentral.
GAUGAAGAACGUAGUGAAAUGCGAUACUUGGUGUGAAUUGCAGAAUCCCGCGAAUCAUCGAGUUUUUGAACGCAAGUUGCGCCCGAAGCCAUUCGGCCGAGGGCACGUCUGCCUGGGUGUCACGCAUCGUUGCCCCCCCAAACUCCGGUUCGGGCGGGGCGGAAGUUGGCCUCCCGUGCGUGCCUGCGCGCGCGGUUAGCCCAAAAGCGAGUCCUCGGCGAUGAGCGCCACGACAAUCGGUGGUUUUUUUACCCUCGUUCCUCGUCGUGCGUGCCCCGUCGCCCGAACGCGCUCUUGCAACCCUUACGCGUCGCCUCGGUGGCGCUCCCAACGCGACCCCAGGUCAGGCGGGACUACCCGCUGAGUUUAAGCAUAUCAAUAAGCGGAGA